Molecule: ribosomal RNA, 187 nt
Filed under: uncultured bacterium
Lineage: Bacteria
Description: partial 16S rRNA
Rfam family: Bacterial small subunit ribosomal RNA
Source: RNAcentral
CCUACGGGGGGCGGCAGUGAGGAAUAUUGGUCAAUGGACGCAAGUCUGAACCAGCCACGUCGCGUGAAGGAAGACGGCCCUACGGGUUGUAAACUUCUUUUGUAAGGGAAUAAAGUGCAGUACGCGUACUGUUUUGCAUGUACCUUACGAAUAAGGAUCGGCUAACUCCGUGCCAGCAGCCCCGGUC